This 336-nucleotide unclassified non-coding RNA is filed under the name soil metagenome. Its description in RNAcentral is "partial contains 5.8S ribosomal RNA, internal transcribed spacer 2, and large subunit ribosomal RNA". The stretch from base 1 to 121 matches the Rfam family "5.8S ribosomal RNA", at positions 35 to 154 of the family's 154-position model. The record is from RNAcentral.
GAUGAAGAAACGCAGCGAAAUGCGAUAAGUAAUGUGAAUUGCAGAAUUCAGUGAAUCAUCGAAUCUUUGAACGCACAUUGCGCCCGCCAGUAUUCUGGCGGGCAUGCCUGUUCGAGCGUCAUUUCAACCAUCAAGCCCCCGGCUUGUGUUGGGGACCUGCGGCUGCCGCAGGCCCUGAAAACCAGUGGCGGGCUCGCUAGUCACUCCGAGCGUAGUAAUACAUCUCGCUCAGGGCGUGCUGCGGGUUCCGGCCGUUAAAAAGCCUUAUUUACCCAAGGUUGACCUCGGAUCAGGUAGGAAGACCCGCUGAACUUAAGCAUAUCAAUAAGCGGAGGA